RNAcentral lists this ribosomal RNA (416 nucleotides) under uncultured bacterium. RNAcentral's name for it is "partial 16S ribosomal RNA". It matches the Rfam family "Bacterial small subunit ribosomal RNA", at positions 355 to 762 of the family's 1533-position model. The record is from RNAcentral.
UGGGGAAUUUUGGACAAUGGGCGAAAGCCUGAUCCAGCAAUGCCGCGUGUGUGAAGAAGGCCUUCGGGUUGUAAAGCACUUUUGUCCGGAAAGAAAUGGCUCUGGUUAAUACCUGGGGUCGAUGACGGUACCGGAAGAAUAAGGACCGGCUAACUACGUGCCAGCAGCCGCGGUAAUACGUAGGGUCCAAGCGUUAAUCGGAAUUACUGGGCGUAAAGCGUGCGCAGGCGGUUGUGCAAGACCGAUGUGAAAUCCCCGAGCUUAACUUGGGAAUUGCAUUGGUGACUGCACGGCUAGAGUGUGUCAGAGGGGGGUUAGAAUUCCACGUGUAGCAGUGAAAUGCGUAGAGAUGUGGAGGAAUACCGAUGGCGAAGGCAGCCCCCUGGGAUAACACUGACGCUCAUGCACGAAAGCGU